UUAAAGUGGCAGGUCAAGCACUGUUGAGAACCCUGCUGAUGCCAGAAAAGGAUGGAGGAUCCAAGAAGCCUGAAGAAUGGGAGAAUAAAUAUUAAGAUAACUCUGUGUGCAGACGUGCUGACUUUUUCUAGGAGUAAAAAAAAGAAGGAACUGCAGGCUGGUUGUGGAUGCUCAGCCUCUAUGCCUGUGGAGCAGUGGCAAGGGCAUAUAUGAAGAAAAAUCUCCAGCUUCUGGAACCCUGUUAAGUAAAGAGAAGCUCAGCUUUCAGUGGGAUGAAAGCAACUUCAUAACCCUCUUAGCUGCAGAGAAGCUUGAAAAUGUGACCUUGGUGACUCUUCCAGGUAUAUGUUUAAAUCUCAUGAUUUUUAAGUCACUCUCAAUUUUUUGCAGGCUUUCCUUGUGCUUUAGGAACACUUGGAGUUGGUAAUACUUGUGAAUAUGGUGAACAGUAUAAAGAAAAAAAGAAGUCUUAGAUCUCUGUCUCACCUCGCUUAGAUUGGCAUAAAUCUGGAGCGAUUCCACUGACAUUAAUGGAUACAUGUCACUAAGUGGGAGGAAAGAAUCAGGCACUUCAUAUGACUCUUUUCUCUGUCUGUCUUAAUAGCAGUUCAAAAAACUUUAAUUAACUUUUUGGUACCAAAAUGUGAGAGUGUGUUAACUUUCUGGGUUUGAAAAAAUAGAUAACCUCAACAACAAUUACAAUUGGAAGUGUUAAUACAGCAAGACUUAGCAUCUGUUUACAUCUACUGUAGGAUGUAAACAAAGACUACAGAGCUGUUUUGGUGGGGAACAUUGAUUUUCUCUCCCCCCCCCCAAUCAAUUGUUGCAAAACACUUAGCAAAUAUUCCCUGCCUUGAUUUUGUUCAAGGUUAAAAUUUACUUGAAUUAUUGACAACCAAUCUGAUUAAACAUUAGGCCUUUUUUCUUAGAAAUAUAAUGAGAGUAAAUGGAAAUGAAAAAAAGAAGCAAACGUAUGCAUCCUUGCCAGGAGGACGGUUUUUAGAUGUCCUUUGAUCUUGUGCCCAGGAUGCCUUAAAGGGCUACAACGUCUUUCUCUGCAAAAAGCUCCAAGUAUUUCAAAACUUCCAGGCCAAAGCAGCCUCUUUGACCAGCAACGCAUCUUUCUCUGACUUCCCAGAAGGCAGCACAGAGGUUAAGAACUCAAGCAGCUGCUGUCAAGUGACAGAACUGUAAAUCUGUCUCAAGGGCACUG
Molecule: long non-coding RNA, 1213 nt
Filed under: Crocodylus porosus (Australian saltwater crocodile)
Lineage: Eukaryota; Metazoa; Chordata; Crocodylia; Crocodylidae
Description: lncRNA (ENSCPRG00005014072.1)
Source: RNAcentral